CGUGGUGGUGGAGGAGGAGGAGGAGGAAGAGGACGUGGUGAAUGGAAGAGGGAGAAGAAGGGCAAGGAGACAAGCAGUCUCAGAUGAAAUUCGAGCCACUUUAGUUGACCAUGUCCUUGUCCAUGGUAUGACCAUGAGGGAGGCUGGGCAACGAGUACAGCCAAAUUUGAGUUGCUUCACCGUCGCCUCCAUCAUCAGAACCUUCAGGGAGGAAAACAGGACACAGAGAUGACCACCUGGUGGAGGCAGGCUAAGGCUUUUGUCAGAGGAGCAAGAGAGGGAGCUUGUAAACAUGGUCAUUGCCAAUAAUGUAAUCCGCCUGCGAGAGAUUCAAAGGAGAGUGAUUGAGGAUAAUCAUCAUUUUCGAGGGAUAAAUGCCAUCAGCCUCUCCACAAUUGAUCGUAUCCUCCGAAAGCACCGGUUCCGGAUGAAACAGGCGUACCGCGUCCCUUUCGAACGAAACUCAGAGUGAAAGACCAACGAGUGGAAUAUGUUCAGAGAAUCUUUGAGAUUGAAGGCCGGCCUGUUCCCCAUGAAAUUAUCUUUGUGGAUGAGGCUGGUUUCAACCUGACCAAAAGAAGGAGAAGGGGGAGGAACAUAAUUGGCCAUCGGGCUAUUGUAAAUGUCCCUGGUCAGCACGGAGGGAAUGUCACUAUGUGUGCAGCCAUCAGCCAACGAGGGGUACUCCACCGUCAUGCCAUUCUAGGACCCUAUAACACUAUGCUCCUCCUUGCUUUCCUUGACGGUCUAAGAGAGCAUAUGUUCCAGCUGGACCUCAGGGAACCAGCACAGCCAGAGCAGCCUCGUUACAUUGUUGUUUGGGAUAAUGUCAGCUUCCAUCGCGCUGCUCUGGUUCGUGACUGGUUUACCAAUAACCCGAGGUU
Molecule: long non-coding RNA, 884 nt
Organism: Sinocyclocheilus rhinocerous
Lineage: Eukaryota; Metazoa; Chordata; Actinopteri; Cypriniformes; Cyprinidae
Exons: 3
Source: RefSeq, a predicted model, not a curated record